CACGUAGGCACCAAGCGUUGUCCGGAUUUAUUGGGCGUAAAGAGCUCGUAGGCGGUUCGGUAAGUCGGGUGUGAAAACUUUGGGCUCAACCCAAAGCGUGCACUCGAUACUGCCAUGACUAGAGUUCGGUAGGGGAGUGGGGAAUUCCUAGUGUAGCGGUGAAAUGCGCAGAUAUCAGGAGGAACACCAAUGGCGUAGGCAGCUCGCUGGGACGGUACUGACGCUGAGGCGCGAAGGUAUGGGGAGCGAAUAGG
Molecule: ribosomal RNA, 254 nt
Filed under: uncultured bacterium
Lineage: Bacteria
Description: partial 16S ribosomal RNA
Rfam family: Bacterial small subunit ribosomal RNA
Source: RNAcentral